AGACAGUCUAUAAAGUGCAUGGUUACAUUUUUAUAGAGAUAUUGUGUUGUCUGAGAACCGUGGCUCAGUCAUGGGAUUUCCUCGUGUUUCCUUUAUGUGCCUCUGUAGGGAGCGAGAAAGAAACAUUUAUUCAAACUCACCACGAAGAAAAUAAAUGCAUGAUGACGAUCCUGAGAGGAAAAAAAUAAUGUUAUUAUAGAGUUAUGUUACACAAAUCUUCCAAGUGCUAUUACACAGUUUCUGUUGAGAUGGUCAAGGGGAAUUACAUACUGUACUCACACACACAACCAUGUUUGUUUUCCUUUAUUGUGUGUUUUGUUUUUCCUGUGUUGGUUCAAUGAGUGUCUUCUUGAUGUGCCUGAUUUAACUCAUAGGCAGUAGAACAAGCCCUGUACAAAUUGGACCUCCCUGUCUAUUUGUGGAGAACUGGCGUUGUGAUCAAUUUUCUAUUGUCCAAACUAUUGACCCUUCCUGUUUCAGACAUUGCACCUACACUCUGAUUCUACAUUACUGUGGGCCACUGAUUCAACCCUGGGUGCUUUUAUACACUAACGCCUCACUCUAAACCCUCACUGUAACCCCUCACUGUAACCCCUCACUCUAAACCCUCACUCUAAACCCUCACUGUAACCCCUCACUGUAACCCCUCACUGUAACCCCUCACUCUAAACCCGCACUGUAACCCCUCACUCUAACCCCUCACUCUAAACCCUCACUGUAACCCCUCACUGUAACCCCUCACUCUAAACCCUCACUGUAACCCCUCACUGUAACCCUCACUGUAACCCUCACUGUAACCCCUCACUGUAACCCCUCACUCUAAACCCUCACUCUAAACCCUCACUGUAACCCCCACUGUAACCCCUCACUCUAAACCCUCACUGUAACCCCUCACUGUAACCCCUCACUCUAAACCCUCACUGUAACCCCUCACUGUAACCCCUCACUCUAACCCUCACUGUAACCCCUCACUCUAAACCCCUCACUCUAAACCCUCACUGUAACCCCUCACUGUAACCCCUCACUGUAACCCUCACUGUAACCCCUCACUGUAACCCCUCACUGUACAUCAUUCCAAUCCCCAUCUCUGAUAACGAUGGCUCAAAUGAUCAGAUUUGAUAACCCAGUUCAAAGUGCACUGAAAUUAUUUUUUUAUUCCAACCAGCUCCAGUAGGUUGUAGUUUAAUUCCAACCAGUUCCAGUAGGAUUUAGUUUUAUUCCAACCAGCUCCAGUAGGAUGUAGUUUAAUUCCAACCAGCUCCAGUAGGAUGUAGUUUUAUUCCAACCAGCUCCAGUAGGUUGUAGUUUUAUUCCAACCAGCUCCAGUAGGUUGUAGUUUUAUUCCAACCAGCUCCAGUAGGUUGUAGUUUUAUUCCAACCAGUUCCAGUAGGUUGUAGUUUAAUUCCAACCAGCUCCAGUAGGUUGUAGUUUUAUUCCAACCAGCUCCAGUAGGAUGUAGUUUAAUUCCAACCAGUUCCAGUAGGUUGUAGUUUAAUUCCAACCAACUCCAGUAGGUUGUAGUUUAAUUCCAACCAGUUCCAGUAGGUUGUAGUUUAAUUCCAACCAUCUCCAGUAGGUUGUAGUUUUAUUUUACCUGCAAUAUUUUCCUAUCUGUUAUUGUAUAACAUUUACAGUCAUUCUAAUUGAUAUUUUAAGCAGAUCAAAUGAUGUUGGUAAUAAUGAGCCACUAUCCUUGUGGAAGUCAUAGACUUCAAAUGAAAUUGAAUACAGGCCCGCUCCUAAAAACACCAGGUUUGAAUCAUGUAUUGUAAAUGGUGCAUAUCAAAUGUUUACAAUAGUGUAUUCCUCUUCAUUGUUUUAUUUCAUACAUGCUGGCUUUAAGACACUGUUCCCUCACUAUAUGGUCAGAUGAACCAGACACAACACAUGCCACUGUCCCAAGUAUGUACUACAGCCACCAUUACUACCCUCAAUGAGGUGACUUGUAUACAUGCAAUGGUUUUUGUUCUGGACUUUGGUGUCUUUCGCCUAGACCGCGGAUCUGUUGAAUCUGCGCUACAAUCUUGUCCUGCGGUCAUAUUCCUCCAAACGUAAACACAAUAGACACUAUGUACCUGUGUAUGAUUCAACAUGUCCCGAUAUUUGUAUUUUAUUUUCAAAUUAAAAUCAUUAUAUUAUUAUCUGUUUCUUCUAAGAGUCAGUUGGAUUGGAAGGGAAUAUCAGUGAUGGAGGUAACCAAUAUGUGUAUUGUGUAAAAAUAGUGUAUGACCAUCAAUGUACUUGUCAUUCUACAUGUAACGUUACAACAACCUGCCUGCAUACACUAAGGAGACAUAUCUGUAUAUAUUAAUCAAUACUAUUUUUACUGCAUUUUUGUACAAAUAUUCAUGGUAGCCAUGUACAAGUAGUUCAAAUGAUUCUAUGGUAGUAUUAAA
Oncorhynchus tshawytscha (Chinook salmon) is the source of this 2397-nucleotide long non-coding RNA. The record is from Ensembl. Lineage: Eukaryota; Metazoa; Chordata; Actinopteri; Salmoniformes; Salmonidae.